UUAAGCGACUAAGCGUACACGGUGGAUGCCCUGGCAGUCAGAGGCGAUGAAGGACGUGCUAAUCUGCGAUAAGCGUCGGUAAGGUGAUAUGAACCGUUAUAACCGGCGAUUUCCGAAUGGGGAAACCCAGUGUGAUUCGUCACACUAUCAUUAACUGAAUCCAUAGGUUAAUGAGGCGAACCGGGGGAACUGAAACAUCUAAGUACCCCGAGGAAAAGAAAUCAACCGAGAUUCCCCCAGUAGCGGCGAGCGAACGGGGAGCAGCCCAGAGCCUGAAUCAGUGUGUGUGUUAGUGGAAGCGUCUGGAAAGGCGCGCGAUACAGGGUGACAGCCCCGUACACAGAAAUGCACAUAUUGUGAGCUCGAUGAGUAGGGCGGGACACGUGGUAUCCUGUCUGAAUAUGGGGGGACCAUCCUCCAAGGCUAAAUACUCCUGACUGACCGAUAGUGAACCAGUACCGUGAGGGAAAGGCGAAAAGAACCCCGGCGAGGGGAGUGAAAAAGAACCUGAAACCGUGUACGUACAAGCAGUGGGAGCCUCUUUUAUGGGGUGACUGCGUACCUUUUGUAUAAUGGGUCAGCGACUUAUAUUCUGUAGCAAGGUUAACCGAAUAGGGGAGCCGAAGGGAAACCGAGUCUUAACUGGGCGUUAAGUUGCAGGGUAUAGACCCGAAACCCGGUGAUCUAGCCAUGGGCAGGUUGAAGGUUGGGUAACACUAACUGGAGGACCGAACCGACUAAUGUUGAAAAAUUAGCGGAUGACUUGUGGCUGGGGGUGAAAGGCCAAUCAAACCGGGAGAUAGCUGGUUCUCCCCGAAAGCUAUUUAGGUAGCGCCUCGUGAAUUCAUCUCCGGGGGUAGAGCACUGUUUCGGCAAGGGGGUCAUCCCGACUUACCAACCCGAUGCAAACUGCGAAUACCGGAGAAUGUUAUCACGGGAGACACACGGCGGGUGCUAACGUCCGUCGUGAAGAGGGAAACAACCCAGACCGCCAGCUAAGGUCCCAAAGUCAUGGUUAAGUGGGAAACGAUGUGGGAAGGCCCAGACAGCCAGGAUGUUGGCUUAGAAGCAGCCAUCAUUUAAAGAAAGCGUAAUAGCUCACUGGUCGAGUCGGCCUGCGCGGAAGAUGUAACGGGGCUAAACCAUGCACCGAAGCUGCGGCAGCGACGCUUAUGCGUUGUUGGGUAGGGGAGCGUUCUGUAAGCCUGUGAAGGUGUGCUGUGAGGCAUGCUGGAGGUAUCAGAAGUGCGAAUGCUGACAUAAGUAACGAUAAAGCGGGUGAAAAGCCCGCUCGCCGGAAGACCAAGGGUUCCUGUCCAACGUUAAUCGGGGCAGGGUGAGUCGACCCCUAAGGCGAGGCCGAAAGGCGUAGUCGAUGGGAAACAGGUUAAUAUUCCUGUACUUGGUGUUACUGCGAAGGGGGGACGGAGAAGGCUAUGUUGGUCGGGCGACGGUUGUCCCGGUUUAAGCGUGUAGGCUGGUUUUCCAGGCAAAUCCGGAAAAUCAAGGCUGAGGCGUGAUGACGAGGCACUACGGUGCUGAAGCAACAAAUGCCCUGCUUCCAGGAAAAGCCUCUAAGCAUCAGGUAACAUCAAAUCGUACCCCAAACCGACACAGGUGGUCAGGUAGAGAAUACCAAGGCGCUUGAGAGAACUCGGGUGAAGGAACUAGGCAAAAUGGUGCCGUAACUUCGGGAGAAGGCACGCUGGUAUGUAGGUGAAGUCCCUCGCGGAUGGAGCUGAAAUCAGUCGAAGAUACCAGCUGGCUGCAACUGUUUAUUAAAAACACAGCACUGUGCAAACACGAAAGUUGGACGUAUACGGUGUGACGCCUGCCCGGUGCCGGAAGGUUAAUUGAUGGGGUCAGCGCAAGCGAAGCUCUUGAUCGAAGCCCCGGUAAACGGCGGCCGUAACUAUAACGGUCCUAAGGUAGCGAAAUUCCUUGUCGGGUAAGUUCCGACCUGCACGAAUGGCGUAAUGAUGGCCAGGCUGUCUCCACCCGAGACUCAGUGAAAUUGAACUCGCUGUGAAGAUGCAGUGUACCCGCGGCAAGACGGAAAGACCCCGUGAACCUUUACUAUAGCUUGACACUGAACAUUGAGCCUUGAU
This 2108-nucleotide ribosomal RNA is filed under the name Escherichia coli P0301867.1. RNAcentral describes it as "bacterial LSU rRNA". It matches the Rfam family "Bacterial large subunit ribosomal RNA", at positions 1 to 2135 of the family's 2925-position model. Lineage: Bacteria; Pseudomonadati; Pseudomonadota; Gammaproteobacteria; Enterobacterales; Enterobacteriaceae. The record is from RNAcentral.